This 468-nucleotide ribosomal RNA is filed under the name uncultured bacterium. RNAcentral's name for it is "partial 16S ribosomal RNA". It matches the Rfam family "Bacterial small subunit ribosomal RNA", at positions 28 to 507 of the family's 1533-position model. The record is from RNAcentral.
GACGAACGCUGGCGGCGUGCUUAACACAUGCAAGUCGAACGGAUAGGCCCUGCUUUUGUGGGGUGCUCGAGUGGCGAACGGGUGAGUAACACGUGAGUAACCUGCACUUGACUUUGGGAUAACUUCAGGAAACUGGGGCUAAUACCGGCUAGGAGCUCCUGCUGCAUGGUGGGGGUUGGAAAGUUUCGGCGGUUGGGGAUGGACUCGCGGCUUAUCAGCUUGUUGGUGGGGUAGUGGCUUACCAAGGCUUUGACGGGUAGCCGGCCUGAGAGGGUGACCGGCCACAUUGGGACUGAGAUACGGCCCAGACUCCUACGGGAGGCAGCAGUGGGGAAUAUUGCACAAUGGGCGGAAGCCUGAUGCAGCAACGCCGCGUGCGGGAUGACGGCCUUCGGGUUGUAAACCGCUUUCGCCUGUGACGAAGCGUGAGUGACGGUAAUGGGUAAAGAAGCACCGGCUAACUACGUG